GCUGCUUUACAGACACACACAAGCAAUGGUAUGCUACCUCAUUUAUCUCCUGAAAAAUGAUCUAACUAACUAGUCAGACAGCUUUUGGUGAUGUUAUUCAAGACUGGUAGUGAUUAGGGGUAAAUGCUUCACUUGUUUUGUAUUUUGUAGUAGAGAUAAGAGACUAGAGGAAAUACUGGAUGUGCUUCGUUUUUAAGUGUAAUUAUCAAACACCACAACCAGGAUGGAGCUGUUGCCUGGAGGUAUAUAGGACAACCAGGAUGGAGCUGUUGCCUGGAGGUAUGUGGGACAACCAGGAUGGAGCUGUUGCCUGGAGGUAUAUAGGACAACCAGGAUGGAGCUGUUGCCUGGAGGUAUGUGGGACAACCAGGAUGGAGCUGUUGCCUGGAGGUAUAUAGGACAACCAGGAUUGAGCUGUUGCCUGGAGGUAUGUGGGACAGCCAGGAUGGAGCUGUUGCCUGGAGGUAUAUAGGACAACCAGGAUUGAGCUGUUGCCUGGAGGUAUGUGGGACAACCAGGAUGGAGCUGUUGCCUGGAGGUAUAUAGGACAACCAGGAUGGAGCUGUUGCCUGGAGGUAUGUGAGACAACCAGGAUGGAGCUGUUGCCUGGAGGUAUAUGGGACAACCAGGAUUGAGCUGUUGCCUGGAGGUAUAUAGGACAACCAGGAUGGAGCUGUUGCCUGGAGGUAUAUAGGACAACCAGGAUUGAGCUGUUGCCUGGAGGUAUGUGGGACAACCAGGAUUGAGCUGUUGCCUGGAGGUAUGUGGGACAACCAGGAUUGAGCUGUUGCCUGGAGGUAUAUGGGACAACCAGGAUGGAGCUGUUGCCUGGAGGUAUAUGGGACAACCAGGAUUGAGCUGUUGCCUGAAGGUAUAUGGGACAACCAGGAUGGAGCUGUUGCCUGGAGGUAUAUGGGGAACGGUUCAGUGUUCAGGGUGUUGCACAUCUGUAACCCUACUGCCAGGAAGUGCCCUCCUGACCUCCCAUUACAUCAUCAGACCACUGGACAGGCCUCUCUGAUAGCUCCUGAUGGGUUGGCUCAACACAGGUCCAUCCUGCCUCAGUUUCCUCAGACACUAUGGAGAUAAUAGAAACUAGCUGGGCUAUAUUUAAACUCUCUUCCCUUGCGCGUGCAGGCCAGACCACGGCACCAACCAAAAUAGGCACAAAAGGAGGCUGUGGAGGCCUGUCUGUUUUUACAUUGUUCGCCGGUCCAGCCAUCAAAAUAAACAACAUCAGUGUGUCUCAUUCAUUGCAGCAUAGCUGAUCCUAUAGAGGUCUGGGCUUAAUGGAUUUCUCCUCAGAGCCAGAGUGACGUGACUACCAGGGGUGUGUGGGGACACUGUCUGCUCUCUGCCACCUCAAUGAGGUCAAUGUCUGCCUGCAGUAGUCAUUACAUCAGAUAGAGCGACGAAUCUACCUGCACUGAUCAGUGGACCUUAACAUAAUUCACGAAGUCAUCACCUAUCCUAUGCAUGGAAAGAUAGACCUGUUGUAUGCAAGUUUAAAGUAUGUGAUAGUAAAGUUUAUAAAUAUGCUUUAAUAAAAUCAAUGCGACUGGGAAACAUUUCGGAACGUUAGGGCUUAACUUGUUCCAUCUAGACAGAAAAUCAUUCUCUUUUGUCAGACAAACAGGAAUCUAUUGAUAGGCUACUAAAACGGUAGGUUAAUGCCUGCAAUGAUAAAGUGGUGGAAACAAAUGGUUGUAUCAAGUAGACCAGGGAAAAUCAUGAGCUGACGCCCCCAUACCAGACACCACGUAACCAUAAUAGACACCAUGUAACCAUAAUAGACACUAUGUAACCAUAACAGACACUAUGUAACCAUAACAGACCCUAUGUAACCAUAACAGACCCUAUGUAACCAUAACAGACCCUAUGUAACCAUAACAGACCCUAUGUAACCAUAACAGACCCUAUGUAACCAUAACAGACCCUAUGUAACCAUACCAGACACCAUGUAACCAUAAUAGACACCAUGUAACCAUAAUAGACACUAUGUAACCAUAACAGACCCUAUGUAACCAUAACAGACCCUAUGUAACCAUAACAGACCCUAUGUAACCGUAACAGACCCUAUGUAACCAUAACAGACCCUAUGUAACCAUAACAGACACUAUGUAACCAUAACAGACCCUAUGUAACCAUAACAGACACUAUGUAACCAUAACAGACCCUAUGUAACCAUAACAGACCCUAUGUAACCAUAACAGACACUAUGUAACCAUAACAGACCCUAUGUAACCAUAACAGACCCUAUGUAACCAUAACAGACACUAUGUAACCAUAAUAUACACUAUGUAACCAUAACAGACCCUAUGUAACCAUAACAGACCCUAUGUAACCAUAACAGACACUAUGUAACCAUAAUAGACACUAUGUAACCAUAACAGACACUAUGUAACCAUAACAGACCCUAUGUAACCAUAAUAGACACCAUAUAACCAUAACAGACCCUAUGUAACCAUAACAGACCCUAUGUAACCAUAACAGACCCUAUGUAACCAUAACAGACACUAUGUAACCAUAACAUACCCUAUGUAACCAUAACAGACACUAUGUAACCAUAAUAGACACUAUGUAACCAUAAUAGACACUAUGUAACCAUAACAGACCCUAUGUAACCAUAAUAGACACUAUGUAACCAUAAUAGACACCAUGUAACCAUAACAGACACUAUGUAACCAUAACAGACACCAUGUAACCAUAAUAGACACCAUGUAACCAUAACAGACACUAUGUAACCAUAACAGACCCUAUGUAACCAUAACAGACACUAUGUAACCAUAACAGACCCUAUGUAACCAUAACAGACACUAUGUAACCAUAACAUACCCUAUGUAACCAUAACAGACACUAUGUAACCAUAAUAGACACUAUGUAACCAUAAUAGACACUAUGUAACCAUAACAGACCCUAUGUAACCAUAAUAGACACUAUGUAACCAUAAUAGACACCAUGUAACCAUAACAGACACUAUGUAACCAUAACAGACACCAUGUAACCAUAAUAGACACUAUGUAACCAUAACAGACCCUAUGUAACCAUAACAGACACUAUGUAACCAUAACAGACCCUAUGUAACCAUAAUAGACCCUAUGUAACCAUAACAGACCCUAUGUAACCAUAACAGACCCUAUGUAACCAUAAUAGACACUAUGUAACCAUAAUAGACACCAUGUAACCAUAACAGACACUAUGUAACCAUAACAGACACCAUGUAACCAUAAUAGACACUAUGUAACCAUAACAGACCCUAUGUAACCAUAACAGACACUAUGUAACCAUAACAGACCCUAUGUAACCAUAAUAGACCCUAUGUAACCAUAACAGACCCUAUGUAACCAUAACAGACCCUAUGUAACCAUAACAGACCCUAUGUAACCAUAACAGACACUAUGUAACCAUAAUAGACACUAUGCAACCAGAACAGACACUAUGUAACCAUAACAGACACUAUGUAACCAUAACAGACACUAUGUAACCAUAACAGACACCAUAUAACUUCUGUGCUCUGUGACUCUUAUCCUGACCUUUGAUUGACCCAGUAGCUAACUCUUCUACACUGGAGACCUGCUGCUUUUAACCAGCCAAGGUCGUGGUGCUCAUUUGUGCAAGCCAGGUUGCUCCUGUGGUAUUUAGACUUCUCUCAUGUGGUACUAAGAUGAUCAUUAGGCUCCAUUACGGAAAAGAGAAUGGUUAAGUGAUCAUUAUGAAAAGGGAAUGGGCUGAAUGUAAGUGAAGGAUUUACAACUUGUCCUGGAAUACAUUGUAGCCUUUUGCUUUGUCCUUUUAUGUGAUCUGAAAUAUUAGAGCUGGAUACGCUACCAUAACAAUGACCUCAUAAUUCACAAGAUGUGGGCUACGUGGUUCAAUGCUGAUCCAUGUUGAAGGUGUUUAAUAAAGCCACUGAAAAAAAAACAUGAAGUCAUACAAUUCUGCACUGUCUGUUGUAACAAUACUGGUUUGUGAGGUUUAGUAGAUAUGGCUGUCAUCACAUCCUUAUUUACAGUUUUCCCCAAUUGUUUACACACUAAAAUUGGAACUUGAAACACAAUCACUGUGUCACGCCCUGACCAGGUGAACUCGGG
Molecule: long non-coding RNA, 4091 nt
Filed under: Salmo salar (Atlantic salmon)
Lineage: Eukaryota; Metazoa; Chordata; Actinopteri; Salmoniformes; Salmonidae
Description: lncRNA (ENSSSAG00000095616.1, ENSSSAG00000096352.1)
Source: RNAcentral